GGUGGGUGGGAUCCUUCAUGAUGUUGCCGACCCUUUUCCGACGCCGUUCUCAUAUGGUAAAUCUGAUAAUGAACAUACUUUUGACCUUUGAUACGGCCUUGAUGGCCGGUAGGCUGGUGCCGGUGGUUGGGAAGUUUGCCGUUGCCUCUCUGUUUGGAGAAGUAUCGGAGAAAUGUAAUUUACACUUGAUGUAUUUUUGUGUAAAAAAAACGAGGGUUAGAACGACUCGGACACGGGCACGUCCUCACAGCAGACACCAGCCAGAGCCCGUAGCCCGAACACUGCGCCCAUUGACGGUGGGGCUAGAGCAAACAGGGACCGUUUCCAAGAACCAGGCCGGAAGCGCAGAGUGCCGAGUCUGGUCUGGAGUAUGCACCGCUCCGCCCAGGAAUCCGAUGACGAAGUUGAAGAAGCUGUUCCUAUAAGGUUGAGUGUAUGUCUUCAGCCUCCUGUACCUCGCCUUGAAGGGCAUGUCCUGCGUGUUGGGAGUCUUUAAUGAUGGAUGUCACCUUUCUCGGGUAUCGCCUUUUGAAGUGGCCUCGGAGGACAGUGCCCGUGUUGGAGCUGGCUGACUUUACAACUUACUGCGGGUGUUUCCGAUCCUGCGCACUGGCCCCUCCAGACCAGAUGGUGAUGCAGCCAGUUAGAAUGCUCUCUGCGAUUAUGUAUUACAUUGAACUGCUGCAGCUAAGUUAACAAAUUUCACAUCACAUGCCGGUGAUAAUAAACCUGAUUCGGAUUCUGCUUUUCAUUAAACCACUCUGACGAGGUGUGAUUACAGAUCACUUGGGGAGGCUGGAGCCCGGAGCCCAUCAUCGAGAACAUCUGCAAGAGGUGGCAUCUAUCGUUAAGGACCCCCAUCACCCAGGCCACGCCCUCUCCUCAGGGAGGAGGUACAGGAGCCUGAAGACACAGACUGAAUGGCUUAGGAACAGCUUUUUCCGUUCCACCAUCAGAUUUCGGAUCAUUCCCCCGCGACCUCAGUAUUUUGCUCUCUUUUUGUGUUUUUUAUUAUAUAUUCUUAUUGUAAUUUAAAGCAAUCUUUGUGUAUUACACUGCUGCCAUAAGAAAACAAAUCUCACGACAUAGAUCAGUGAUAUUUAAAGCGGAGCUCGAUAGAUUCUUGCUUACUCAGCCAGGAUCGAGUGGCAGAGCAGACUCUAUGGGUCAAAUGGCCUAAUUCUGCUCCUUUGUACUAAAGCCUAAUAAAUGGGAUUGUCACCGGGUUCUGUGGGGUUUUUGGGUCAGAGCCAACAUCCCAGGGAGUUCUGAGAAAGUAGUUUGGAGCAGAGGAGGCUACUCGGCCCAGCAAACAUGUCCCAACAUUCAGUGUAACUGUGACCCAUCUAUCCUGCCCUCAGGGAGAAGGUACAGGAGCUUCAUGACCCACACCACCAGGUCCACAACAUUGACCUCCUUGUUCCUCUGCCUGACCUGCCGGGUCCCUCCAGCAUUUUGUGUUUGUUGCUCAACAACUUAUAGUCUCACUUUCCUGGACUUGCCAGUUCAUGUUCUCAGGAUUCGUCACUUAUUUGUUACGGUGAAUGCCCACGAGAGAAUGAAUCUCAGGGUUGAGUAUGGUGAUCUGUGUCUACUUUGACUGUACAUUUUCUUUCAAUCUUUUGAACGUCCACUUUGAAUACUUCCCACAUUCUGGCUCCCACCAACCAUCUGGGUGAGAAACCCAGAGAUUCAUUCCCCACCCCCACACAGAGAAUUCCCGAUGAUUCAGAAUCCAAAUCAGGUUUAUUACCUAUGGUUUUUUUUUAGAUUAUGAGGACACUCAGUCCUCAUUUAUUGUCAUUUAGAAAUGCAUGCAUUAAAAAAUGAUACGACGUUCCUCCAGAAUGAUAUCACAGAAACACAGGAACUUCAAUGAAUUCCAAAGAUUCACUAUCCUCUGUCUAAAGAAAUCUUUCCUCAUCUCUGUUCUAAAUGGACAUCCCUCUAUUCUGAGGCUGUCCCCUCUGGUCCUAGACUCCUCCACGAUAGGAAUCAUCCUCUCCACAUCCACUCUAUCUAGGCGUUUCAAUAUGCGAUAGGUUUAGACCAUAAGACACAGGAGCAGAAUUAGGCCAUUCAGCCCAUCGAGUCUUCUCCGCCAUUCCAUCAUGGCUGAUCUAGAUCCCACUCAACCCCAUACACCUGCCUUCUCACCAUAUCCUUUGAUGCCCUGACUGAUCAGGAAACAAUCAACUUCCACCUUAAAUAUACCCACAGACUUGGCUUCCAUUGCAGUCUGUGGCAGAACAUUCCACAGAUUCACCACACUCUGGCUAAAAGAAAAAUCCUCUUUACCUCUGUUCUAAAGGGUCACUCCUCAAUUUUGAGUCUAUGCCCUCUAGUUCUCGAUAUCCCCACCACAGGAAACAUCCUCUCCACAUCCAUCCUAUCUGGUCCUUUCAACAUUUGGUCAGUUUCAAUGAGAUCCCCCUGCAUUCUUCUAAAUUCCAGUGAGUACAGGUCAAAGCUGCCAAAUGCUUCUCAUAUGUUAACCCCUUCAUUCCUGGAAUCAUCCUCGUGAUCUCCUCUGGACUCUCCCCAAUGACAACACAUCCUUUCUGAGAUAUGGGACCCAAAACUGUUGACAAUACUCCAAGUGCGGCUUGACUGGUGUCUUGUAAAGCCUAGCAUUAUCUCCUUGUUCUUAUGUUCUAUUUUCUUUGAAAUA
Mobula hypostoma (lesser devil ray) is the source of this 2671-nucleotide long non-coding RNA. RefSeq lists it as uncharacterized. Lineage: Eukaryota; Metazoa; Chordata; Chondrichthyes; Myliobatiformes; Myliobatidae. The transcript is spliced from 3 exons. The record is from RefSeq and is a predicted model, not a curated record.